This 602-nucleotide ribosomal RNA is filed under the name uncultured bacterium. RNAcentral describes it as "bacterial SSU rRNA". The stretch from base 1 to 520 matches the Rfam family "Bacterial small subunit ribosomal RNA", at positions 338 to 873 of the family's 1533-position model. The record is from RNAcentral.
CCUACGGGAGGCAGCAGUGGGGAAUCUUGCGCAAUGGGCGAAAGCCUGACGCAGCAACGCCGCGUGCGGGAAGAAGGCUUUCGGGCUGUAAACCGCUUUCAGCAGGAACGAAAAUGACGGUACCUGCAGAAGAAGGAGCGGCCAACUAUGUGCCAGCAGCCGCGGUGAUACAUAGGCUUCAAGCGUUGUCCGGAUUUAUUGGGCGUAAAGAGUUCGUAGGCGGUCGAGUAAGUCGGGUGUGAAAAUUCUGGGCUCAACCCAGAGACGCCACCCGAUACUGCUUGACUUGAGUUCGAUAGGGGAGUGGGGAAUUCCUAGUGUAGCGGUGAAAUGCGCAGAUAUUAGGAGGAACACCGGUGGCGAAGGCGCCACUCUGGAUCGAUACUGACGCUGAGGAACGAAAGCAUGGGUAGCAAACAGGAUUAGAUACCCUGGUAGUCCAUGCCGUAAACGGUGGGCACUAGGUGUGGGUUUCUAUUAACGAAAUCCGCGCCGUCGCUAACGCAUUAAGUGCCCCGCCUGGGGGAGGUACGGUCGCAGACUAAACUACAAGAGUAGUAGACGCGNGAGACGACGACGACGACGACGACGGAGGGAGGAGG